RNAcentral lists this non-coding RNA (128 nucleotides) under Streptomyces longwoodensis. Lineage: Bacteria; Bacillati; Actinomycetota; Actinomycetes; Kitasatosporales; Streptomycetaceae. The record is from RNAcentral.
GGGCCGGUACAGUGACCGGGUCGUCAUCACACCCGUACGAGGGGAAGCCGGUGCAAAACCGGCGCUGACCCGCAACCGUGAGCCGUCCGCCGGGCGGUGAGCCGGACUGCCUCGUCCGGGACGUGACC